Long non-coding RNA from Homo sapiens (human), 1894 nucleotides. RefSeq lists it as uncharacterized. The record is from RefSeq and is a predicted model, not a curated record. The transcript is spliced from 2 exons. Lineage: Eukaryota; Metazoa; Chordata; Mammalia; Primates; Hominidae.
UACAGGGUUGACCCACUGUGCCUGGCCCCCCUCAAUACUGUUAUCUAAACAUAGAAAUAACUGAAAUAUAUUUUAGUCAUUAAAAAACCCUUUGGGCUUACACUUUGAGUUACAUUGAACUUCUUUUUACAUUGUGGACAGGAAAGAUAGUAAGCAAAAGUUUCCUCAAUUUUUAAAAGGACGACGGUAGAAAGAACACAUUGCAAUCUAUAGAUGAUCCAUGGCAGCUAUCUUCAAAUGCUGAAAGCUUGCUCAUGUAGCAGGAGUCUGUGCUGUUUUAGAAAACGAAAAAGUAUUAAAACAGUGAUGGUGGGGAUGUAAUUUUUUUACAUUUAACUCCCAAGGAAUGUAUUAAUAUAAAUAAGUUGUACAGAAUUAUGCUAAGGAAUAGCUUGGUUAAAGCAACUAAUAUUUUGAAAGAUGCCCUUUAAGAUUAUUUAUGGUAAUUUGCUUUUCAAAUCUAGAAGCUUUAGACUUUUUAAGAAUAUAGUUCAAAGUAGGUGAUGCUGGAACUUGUUAACAUUUCUUUUUCCUACUAGAGUCAGCUGCUUCAAUUCACUCAGACUUACCUGCAUAAUUAUAACCUUGGACAAGGAAUAAAGGUUUUUACAGGAUUGGCUUUUAUCUUUUUUAAAAAAUUGGACAAACGGCUUGUGAAACUAAACUCCUGGAUACUUAACCUGCUUGAAAAAUUAUCUUACAAUGGAACCUUAGAAGCAAAGCCCAGGAGGACAUCUAUCAUGGAUAUCCCUCUUCUGGCACCCUAAUGGCACCUACUGAACUUAAUUUAAAAAAUCCAUUUCAAGAAAGUAACUUUGGUGGUGAUGAAAAACUUCUUGGGAAGAAUGGAAGAUCUAGAUGUAUUGCAAUUCAGCACAACAUAAUAAUCUGAUUGGAGAAAGGAAGAAAACAGCAGCAGCAGAGGCAGAGCUGGAAUGUAGCAACAGCUGGAAUCCAGAAUGACAUUCUAAGGGGGAGGGUUGUUAAGGCACAAAUGAUUUUUCUGGGAUUUAAGACCUUACUUAGGUAAGUUAUUUAACUGUGUCUUUCAAUUUACAGUUAGGUGAAAUAUGAUUGAUAGUAAUGCCUCCCUGAUAGGUUUAGCUACCUUUUAAAUUUGAAUGUCUGUUACAUAGUGAAUACUGUCAACUAUUAAAAGCAGUAAAGAAACAGGAUAUAGAGCGAGACUGGAUAGCACUUGUUGGGAUAAUUAUUUCCCAGUACCACAUGACUCUGACAUCUACUGGGUGUGGUCACACCUCUCCCAUGAUUCCCCCUUAAAGACUCUGGGUAAUCUGGGAAAUGGCCUGAUUUUUAUCUUGCUCAUAUGUGUGCUGUAAAUGGAUUUUUAAUACACUUAGGAUACUCAGCUGAAAAGGAACUCUAAAUUGAAUUUCAAGUUAGAAAGGAUCUAAGAGGGCAGGUGUGUGUUAUCAACAUUGUAACGUAGUAGGCUUUCUGAUGAAGAUAGUUUUUUUUUGAGAUGGAGUUUCGCCCUUGUUGCCCAGGCUGGAGUGCAAUGGUGUGAUCUCAGCUCACCGCUGCCUCACCCUCCCUAGUAGCUGUGUUUACAGGCAUGUGCCACCAUGCCUGGCUAAUUUUGUAUUUUUAGUAGAGACGGGGUUUCUCCAUGUUGGUCAGGCUGGUCUUGAACUCCUGACCUCAGGUGAUCCACCUGUCUCGGCCUCCCAGAGUGCUGGGAUUACAGGUGUGAGCCACCGCGCCUGGCCUGAAGAUACAUUUUUAUGCUAGGAAAAUGGUUUCAUUCUCUAGGAAAAAUACUUAAUAUCUUAUUUUAUUUGUUUCAUGAGUAGCUGACCAAUUUAUUGUUACCUCUUCUGCUGCUGUUAGCCAUGUUCCAGCCCAGGAAAGAAUAAAGCUGUGUCUGUCUGGA